Molecule: ribosomal RNA, 678 nt
Filed under: Monosporascus eutypoides
Lineage: Eukaryota; Fungi; Ascomycota; Sordariomycetes; Xylariales
Description: partial large subunit ribosomal RNA
Rfam family: Eukaryotic large subunit ribosomal RNA
Source: RNAcentral
UUUGAAAUCUGGCCUUCGGGUCCGAGUUGUAAUUUGUAGAGGAUGCUUUUGGUGCGGUACCUUCCGAGUUCCUUGGAACAGGACGCCUUAGAGGGUGAGAGCCCCGUACGGUUGGAUACCAAGCCUCUGUAAAGCUCCUUCGACGAGUCGAGUAGUUUGGGAAUGCUGCUCUAAAUGGGAGGUAAAUUUCUUCUAAAGCUAAAUACCGGCCAGAGACCGAUAGCGCACAAGUAGAGUGAUCGAAAGAUGAAAAGUACUUUGAAAAGAGGGUUAAAUAGCACGUGAAAUUGUUGAAAGGGAAGCGUUUAUGACCAGACCUUUGCCUGGCGGAUCAUCCGGUGUUCUUCACCGGUGCACUUCGCCUGGCUUAGGCCAGCAUCGAUUUUCGUUAGGGGACAAAGACCGCGGGAACGUGGCUCCCUCCGGGGAGUGUUAUAGCCCGCGGUGUAAUACCCUUACGGGGAUCGAGGUUCGCGCUCUGCAAGGAUGCUGGCAUAAUGGUCAUCAACGACCCGUCUUGAAACACGGACCAAGGAGUCGAACAUUUAUGCGAGUGUUUGGGUGUUAAACCCUCACGCGUAAUGAAAGUGAACGGAGGUGAGAGCCCUUUCAGGUGCAUCAUCGACCGAUCCUGAUGUCUUCGGAUGGAUUUGAGUAAGAGCAUAACUGUUCGGACGC